Molecule: ribosomal RNA, 491 nt
Filed under: uncultured bacterium
Lineage: Bacteria
Description: partial 16S ribosomal RNA
Rfam family: Bacterial small subunit ribosomal RNA
Source: RNAcentral
AGUGAACGCUGGCGGUAGGCCUAACACAUGCAAGUCGAACGGCAGCACAGUAAGAGCUUGCUCUUACGGGUGGCGAGUGGCGGACGGGUGAGGAAUACAUCGGAAUCUACUUUUUCGUGGGGGAUAACGUAGGGAAACUUACGCUAAUACCGCAUACGACCUACGGUUGAAAGCAGGGGAUCUUCGGACCUUGCGCGAUUGAAUGAGCCGAUGUCGGAUUAGCUAGUUGGCGGGGUAAAGGCCCACCAAGGCGACGAUCCGUAGCUGGUCUGAGAGGAUGAUCCGCCACACGGGAACUGAGACACGGUCCAGACUCCUACGGGAGGCAGCAGUGGGGAAUGUUGGACAAUGGGGGCAAGCCUGAUCCAGCCAUACCGCGUGGGUGAAGAAGGCCUUCGGGUUGUAAAGCCCUUUUGUUGGGAAAGAAAAGCAGCAGGUUAAUACCCCGCUGUUCUGACGGUACCCAAAGAAUAAGCACCGGCUAACUUGGU